This 465-nucleotide ribosomal RNA is filed under the name Vreelandella stevensii. RNAcentral describes it as "partial 16S ribosomal RNA". It matches the Rfam family "Bacterial small subunit ribosomal RNA", at positions 338 to 795 of the family's 1533-position model. Lineage: Bacteria; Pseudomonadati; Pseudomonadota; Gammaproteobacteria; Oceanospirillales; Halomonadaceae. The record is from RNAcentral.
CCCGGGGGAGGCAGCAGUGGGGAAUAUUGGACAAUGGGCGAAAGCCUGAUCCAGCCAUGCCGCGUGUGUGAAGAAGGCCUUCGGGUUGUAAAGCACUUUCAGUGGGGAAGAAAGCCUUGGGGCUAAUACCCUCGAGGAAGGACAUCACCCACAGAAGAAGCACCGGCUAACUCCGUGCCAGCAGCCGCGGUAAUACGGAGGGUGCGAGCGUUAAUCGGAAUUACUGGGCGUAAAGCGCGCGUAGGCGGUCUGAUAAGCCGGUUGUGAAAGCCCCGGGCUCAACCUGGGAACGGCAUCCGGAACUGUCAGGCUAGAGUGCAGGAGAGGAAGGUAGAAUUCCCGGUGUAGCAGUGAAAUGCGUAGAGAUCGGGAGGAAUACCAGUGGCGAAGGCGGCCUUCUGGACUGACACUGACGCUGAGGUGCGAAAGCGUGGGUAGCAAACAGGAUUAGAUACCCCAGUAGUC